Long non-coding RNA from Capsicum annuum, 1055 nucleotides. RefSeq lists it as uncharacterized. The transcript has 3 exons. The record is from RefSeq and is a predicted model, not a curated record. Lineage: Eukaryota; Viridiplantae; Streptophyta; Magnoliopsida; Solanales; Solanaceae.
UUCUUCUGCAUCUUAAUUCUUCUUUUUCCCCAUAGUAUUAGAGUAGGUUUAAAACCUUGCAAUAUUGUCGUUCUUUUCGAUUUUCUUUAGUUCAUUGUUCCUACUAUGUCGAGUACUUCACAAACUUCAGAAACAAUGGUAGAAACCACAACCAUUGGUGAUGGCACUAUUUCUGUUGAAUACACUAUGAUGUCGAUGCAGGACAUCCUUAUUAUCUUCAUCCCUUGAAUUACCCAGGGAUGAAUCUCGUUUCUUCUGCAUUUGAUGACAAAGGAUAUGGAGGUUGGAGGAGAGCAGUGAUGAUAGCUCUUUCGGCAAAAAAUAAGUAUAAAUUCACUGAUAGAUCUCUAGCCUUACCUCAUAUGAAUCAGGCUUAUAGAGGGCUUGAACAUGCUGUAAUGUCAUGGUGUUUUUAUGUCUAUUCAAUUCUCUUUUCAAAGAAAUUAUUGAAAGUGUGUUACACUAAAGAAGUGUGAAGGAUCUAUCGAAUGACCUGGAAGAAAGAUUUUGUCUUACAAAUGCAGCAAAAUUAUUUCUACUUCAAAAGGAAUUUAGUGCAAUAACUUAAGACCAAUGAAGAUCUCACAAAGAAUGGAGUUGUCGAGUCAAAGUCUUUAAGCCAGGAAAAUAUAGGACGUUGCAAUAACUUCUUCAGCAGCUAAAGACUGACUAGUAGAAUGGAGAAGGAUCUGAGGAUCUUGCAAAUAUGUUUGUUGCUGGGCCCUCCACUGAAAACCGCUCAGAAGAUUGAUAGAUAACAAGGAGGACUCUACAUACUAAAAUCAAGCCAGUCGGAAAAUUCAGUCAACUAGACCUCUAGAUCUAUUUUUAUUUUUAAUUCAUGCCUAGUCGAAAAACAUGCCAAUUCUAAUUCAAUUUCUAAUUCUUGUCUUGUUUUAUCUGAUUCAAAUUUAAAAGAAAUAUUAUGGCACUAUAGAUUAGGACAUAUGCCUUUGACUAAUAUAAAGGAUGUUUCUUUUAUUCUAUUUUCUCUUGUAAAUUUUUUUUAUAUUCCUUGUGCUAUUUUUCCUUUGGUAAGACAAUCCAAACUCCAU